This 505-nucleotide ribosomal RNA is filed under the name bacterium enrichment culture clone ALO1_GLFRUDD03FX6GY. RNAcentral describes it as "bacterial SSU rRNA". It matches the Rfam family "Bacterial small subunit ribosomal RNA", at positions 9 to 507 of the family's 1533-position model. The record is from RNAcentral.
GAGUUUGAUCCUGGCUCAGAUUGAACGCUGGCGGCAUGCCUUACACAUGCAAGUCGAACGGCAGCACGGGAGCUUGCUCCUGGUGGCGAGUGGCGAACGGGUGAGUAAUGCAUCGGAACGUAUCCUGGAGUGGGGGAUAACGUAGCGAAAGUUACGCUAAUACCGCAUAUUCUGUGAGCAGGAAAGCGGGGGACCUUCGGGCCUUGCGCUAUCAGAUGAGCCUAGGUCGGAUUAGCUAGUUGGUGGGGUAAUGGCUCACCAAGGCGACGAUCCGUAACUGGUCUGAGAGGAUGAUCAGUCACACUGGAACUGAGACACGGUCCAGACUCCUACGGGAGGCAGCAGUGGGGAAUAUUGGACAAUGGGCGAAAGCCUGAUCCAGCCAUGCCGCGUGUGUGAAGAAGGUCUUCGGAUUGUAAAGCACUUUAAGUUGGGAGGAAGGGCAGUAAGUUAAUACCUUGCUGUUUUGACGUUACCGACAGAAUAAGCACCGGCUAACUCUGUG